This is a long non-coding RNA of Corvus moneduloides (New Caledonian crow), 1405 nucleotides long. NCBI's taxonomy places the organism in Eukaryota, Metazoa, Chordata, Aves, Passeriformes, Corvidae. The record is from Ensembl.
UGCUUGCUUGCCUUGUCCAGCUGGCAGCCUUCCCGGGUGCUGCAUCCAAGUCCCCAGGCAGCAGUCUCACAUCACAUCACCCCAGGGGAAGGACCUGUGCUGUGCACAGUGCUCACAAGAGCAAGAGAGGAGAUUGGAAAGAAGCAUUCAAGGAACCCAAGAGAAAGGAGACUGAAGUCCUCCAGAGAACUCCAAAACAAAUGGCUGUCCUGAAGCUCUUUUCAGUGGGUAGCUGCCCAGCUGCCUUUACUGACGCUCUCUGAAAUGUCUGCCCAGCAAACCAGGCGUGAAGGGCACCGGAGGAGCGAUCCUUAUCUUCUGGGAACAACGGAGCUCUGCACAGCAAGGCAAGGCUUUGGAGAUGGAUUUCUGCUCCCUCCUUGGUUCAGGAUACUGGCCCCUGGGAAUACAGCCCUUUAUGGAUCCUCACCGAACGAGGCUGGGAUUUAAAAAGCAAAGCUGAACUUUCCGACCUGAAACCUCAAAUCCUUUUCUGAUGGUUUUUGUAACUGGAAAGCGGAAAUAGAGUCUUCAGUAAUUCAAAAGAGAUUUAAUGAUCAAAGCUGCAAUUAAAGGCGUGGUGAGUCAUCUUACAGUCGUCCAUGUGCUAAAACGCACAGGCUGUGCAAGAGAUCAUGUUGUCAUGGCUGGUUUUACUCAAAACGAGGAUAUAGGAGCUGCUAUUACUUCCAGCUUCAGAAACAAUCUGAGUUCUGCUGACCUGUGUUUAUAGAGCAGAAGAAAAGGCAACAGUCCUGACUCCCCCAUUUGUGUAUUUAUUUAGUAGUUCUGUCUGCAGCAUCUGAAUUCAUUAUGGUGCGUUAUUACUUUUCACCUUCUUUCAGAGUGUCUGCUCUCAGUAGGAACUUUGAUUUUUUUUUUCAUUUACACUAACAAAUUACCCACCAAAACAAAUACGGAAGAGCUGAUCUUCAGAGUACUAUGGGGCUUUUUUUCUUUCUGCAGCAUGCAUUAACAAUGAAAUAUUUAACUGAACUUUUCACAGCAUGUGCAUUUUUUCAAAUUAAAAUUGCAAAAGACAAGGAAAUGAAGAUAAAAAUAUCCAACCAAGCUGUUUCUCCGAAACCCUCACAAGUAAUCUAAUAUUUCCCUUUAAAUCCUGUUGUUUUAUUCUGCUCAAUACAAAACAUAGUGCUAAAGACAAUUUGGUUUUAGUAAAGGAGAAACUUCUUCCUAAAAACAUUUAGCCAGUCACACGAAAGCAACUAAAGGGAAGCGGGAGAAUUGGUAACUCUCUACUGGAAAAAUGUAAUAAAAAUUUUGACAAUCUGCUACAAGUCUUGCUUUCCCUGUUCCUCAGUUCCCUUCCUAGUGGUAUUUCAUGUUUUAUUUUCAAUUUCUCAUAAUGGUUGCAGUAUUCAAACUCUAACCCACUAGAAUGUGA